AACCCAGGAUGGAUGCAUGUGUAGGCACAUCAAUGAAAGAACAAAAUUGCCAUGCAAUGCAAGGAAUGCUGGAUCUUGGAAGCAAUAUUUUAUCAAGAAACCUAUUGGUAAUAUGCAUUUUCUGAUUCACAUGUUCAGUGCAGAACCUUAUAUUUACAUUUAGUGCGGUCAGAAAUCUUUGCAAAUUUGUUUAACUUGACCAUCAAGUUUUUCAAGAAAUUUAGAAUGUUCAAGACUCUUUGAAGCAGAUGAGGAGCAAUGCUCUGAUGUCCUUAACCAGCAUUUUAUAAGAUUUUUAGAACAUUAUCACAAGCAUGAAAUUAAUCAGAGAAAAACAAGCUUGUGUCUUUUCUAUUUGAAUAGGCAUGGCAAUCUUAAGAUUGAUAGGCACAUUGAUUGCCUCUAUAACUACAUGACAAUUUCCUUAGUCCACAUUUAUGUGAUAGUGAGGUUGAUUGAUUCUUUAAACAUCCUCAUCACACAGGUAGUCUGAAAGGAAUCAUUGCUACCUCUGUCUGGCCUCUACUUCUGACAAUUCUGGUAACUGAUGCCAACUGUCCACCUAUUAUGCAUGUUUAUUAGCAUAGUUGCUCUAUAUUAAUAGGCAAACCAAUAACUAUAUCUUAUCAAUCUUGGCUCAUCCAACAUGCUUGGCAUUGGCCCUUUCCUUAUUCGGCCUAUAGUGCAGUCUUCAACAUUUUGAAUAACUUGGAGACUGGUUCGGUCACCUCGGCCUACUACUAUCGGCCAUUUAACUUCAUACACCUUGUAUUAUAUGUCAUGGCCACAUCUUGAUCUUGUCAGCCUGCUCCUCAGCAUCAUAACCGAAUUCUACUUUUUGGGCUUGUACCUCCAUAGAUGGGACUUUUCAUGGUUGAACCCUUUCAACUCAGCAAAGGUCACAAGAUUUCUAUCUUUACUUCAUCUAACUUUGUACACAUGGCACAUACCCAUAGCCUCUAGUUAAGUUGUCGAAAUGAGGUGUAAACACCAUUUUAUAGAAGUUUAGCAUGGUUUAAGCAUCCAUAGAAGAAAUCUAAUUAGGUCAUCAUGGGAGUUGGAAACUUGAGACAUAACUGUUUUUCGAUAGUAUUAGGAUAAUUAUUAUAUUAUUGAUAUUGAUAAUUUCUUAUUAUAAUAUAUCUAUAUAGAAGAUAAAU
Molecule: long non-coding RNA, 1160 nt
Filed under: Elaeis guineensis (African oil palm)
Lineage: Eukaryota; Viridiplantae; Streptophyta; Magnoliopsida; Arecales; Arecaceae
Description: long non-coding RNA (EGUI_LNC058768)
Source: RNAcentral